AUUAUAGUCCAAGCACAACGCAAUUACACAAAACAAAAACAAAAAUGAAAAAUAUUUUCGGGAUUUUUGAAUAAUUUAAAACAAAAAUAGAAAAUAUUUUUGUAGUUUUUUUGAAUAUUUUUUGAAAAAAGGCAAAAAAAAAACACAUUAACCAUAAAACAAGAAAAAUAAAACACAUAACAUUGUGUGCACUCCCCCUACACUUAGACUAAAAAUUGUCCCCAAUGUGUCCCCCUCCAAAAAAAGAUAGGAGAUUACUAGACUUCCCUCAAAUGGAGCAUCAAACUAGCUCGGGGGUCUACCUUCUUGUUGAAGCUCGCAAUAUUGUGUAUUCUUUUAGGGUAACUCGCUGCCCAUAAGACAAACAAACAAAAACAAAAACAACCAAC
RNAcentral lists this long non-coding RNA (389 nucleotides) under Gossypium raimondii (Peruvian cotton). RNAcentral's name for it is "long non-coding RNA (GRAI_LNC000514)". Lineage: Eukaryota; Viridiplantae; Streptophyta; Magnoliopsida; Malvales; Malvaceae. The record is from RNAcentral.